This 510-nucleotide ribosomal RNA is filed under the name Paenarthrobacter ilicis. RNAcentral describes it as "bacterial SSU rRNA". It matches the Rfam family "Bacterial small subunit ribosomal RNA", at positions 267 to 787 of the family's 1533-position model. Lineage: Bacteria; Bacillati; Actinomycetota; Actinomycetes; Micrococcales; Micrococcaceae. The record is from RNAcentral.
ACCAAGGCGACGACGGGUAGCCGGCCUGAGAGGGUGACCGGCCACACUGGGACUGAGACACGGCCCAGACUCCUACGGGAGGCAGCAGUGGGGAAUAUUGCACAAUGGGCGCAAGCCUGAUGCAGCGACGCCGCGUGAGGGAUGACGGCCUUCGGGUUGUAAACCUCUUUCAGUAGGGAAGAAGCCGUAAGGUGACGGUACCUGCAGAAGAAGCGCCGGCUAACUACGUGCCAGCAGCCGCGGUAAUACGUAGGGCGCAAGCGUUAUCCGGAAUUAUUGGGCGUAAAGAGCUCGUAGGCGGUUUGUCGCGUCUGCUGUGAAAGACCGGGGCUCAACUCCGGUUCUGCAGUGGGUACGGGCAGACUAGAGUGCAGUAGGGGAGACUGGAAUUCCUGGUGUAGCGGUGAAAUGCGCAGAUAUCAGGAGGAACACCGAUGGCGAAGGCAGGUCUCUGGGCUGUAACUGACGCUGAGGAGCGAAAGCAUGGGGAGCGAACAGGAUUAGAUACCC